AAAAACAUGGCCUUUUGAUUAUAAUUUUAGGUUUCGCCUGCCCAAUGAUUUUUAUUCAAUGGCCGCAGUAUCCUGACUGUGCAAAGGUAGCAAAAUCAAUAGUUUUUUAAUUGAAAGCUGGAAUGAAAGGUUGGAUGAGAAAAUAACUGUCUCUGUAAAAAUUUAUUAUAAUUUUAUUUUUAAGUUAAAAAGCUUAAAUAAAAAUAGAAGACGAGAAGACCCUGUAGAGUUUUAUAUUUAAAUAUAUCUGAAAUUUUAGUAUUAAUUUUUUUUUUUAUAUUAUAUAUUUGGUUGGGGUGAUUGGAAAACUAAAUAAACUUUUCUUUAUUAAUACAUUUAUUUAUGAUAAUAUGAUCCUUUGAUUAAGAUUAUAAGAUAAAAUUACCUUAGGGAUAACAGCGUAAUUUUUUUUGAGAGUCCUUAUCGAAAGAAGAGAUUGCGACCUCGAUGUUGGAUUAAAGUUGGUUUAUGGUGUAGAAGCUAUAAUAUUAGGUCUGUUCGACCUUUAAAACUUUACUUGAUCUGAGUU
This 529-nucleotide ribosomal RNA is filed under the name Zacladus exiguus. RNAcentral describes it as "partial 16S ribosomal RNA". It matches the Rfam family "Bacterial large subunit ribosomal RNA", at positions 1809 to 2611 of the family's 2925-position model. Lineage: Eukaryota; Metazoa; Arthropoda; Insecta; Coleoptera; Curculionidae. The record is from RNAcentral.